Molecule: ribosomal RNA, 250 nt
Filed under: uncultured bacterium
Lineage: Bacteria
Description: partial 16S ribosomal RNA
Rfam family: Bacterial small subunit ribosomal RNA
Source: RNAcentral
UACGUAGGGUGCGAGCGUUAAUCGGAUUACUGGGCGUAAAGCGUGCGCAGGCGGUGAUGUAAGACAGAUGUGAAAUCCCCGGGCUCAACCUGGGAACUGCAUUGUGACUGCAUCGCUGGAGUGCGGCAGAGGGGAUGGAAUCCGCGUGUAGCAGUGAAAUGCGUAGAUAUGCGGAGGAACACCGGAUGGCGAAGGCAAUCCCCGUGGGCCUGCACUGACGCUCAUGCACGAAGCGUGGGGAGCAAACAGG